CAAAGAGGACACCUUGUUUUAGGGCUCUGCAGUUAAAAAUGUGGACUGUAGUUGGUUUUGGUCCUUUGCUUUUCUUGCUGCCUCUUGGAACAGUAUUUGUUGGUUCUUGGGGGGAGUCUGGCCUAUGGAACGAAACCGCCUCCAGGUCACUGGAGGAUCAACCACUCCUGCAUCAUUCCUUCACUACAGUCUCACCAGUGCCACUGCAGAGUCCACGUGAAACCAAUAUGACAGAAAACAGUGUCAGAAGAAGAAAAAGAAGCUCUUCCUCCGCUGACACUGAAGGCUCUGCUUUGCCUCCAAAGAUUCUGACUGUCUCUCAUCUUUCUUCUCUCAGAGAUCUGGUUUCAGAAAAUAAAAUCACAGGUUGUGCAAUUUUACCAUGCUUCCUCUUGCAACUCAAAACAGCAUGAUGAAAUCAAAAAAUGUUAUCUGUAAACUGAAGAUGACCUGAACCAAGUUGGCCUACUGUUUGCCAAUAGGUUUUGCUGUGUGUUACCCUGUUGUACUAUCGGAUGGGUAAAGAGCCAGAUCAUCAGCACUAUUCCACUGACUGAAAAAGUCUACAUUGGUAUUUUUCUACAUCCUGAGCAGACAUUUGUUAUCUUUAAAGAGUAACAACAUGUUGAACCAAAAUCAGUGUUAAAUACUGCUGUAUACCUUUGGUGGUAGGGACAAACCACCAGAUGGUAGCAAAAGAAAGGAUUUUGACUUGUGUGCUUCUUUGGAAAUCUGAUUAUUUAGCCAAAGCUCCACAUUUCAACAGACCCAUCUUCAUUCUGUGUUUGCAUUGCCUCAACACAGGAGGAGAGUUAUAAAGUUGAGUAACAUCUUUUUUGAACCCGUGAGGUAGACAGAAAUAAUGUUGAACGGGUACAAAAACUUUAAACUUUAAAAAUAGCAACUGUGGCCAUGAGGGAGAGAGAAGACAGACUGUGAGUGUGUUGUUAGCUGUUGGGAAGUUUACCACAGCCGCCCACGUCCCCUGAGUCAGUCCA
Long non-coding RNA from Dicentrarchus labrax (European seabass), 998 nucleotides. RefSeq lists it as uncharacterized. The transcript has 3 exons. The record is from RefSeq and is a predicted model, not a curated record. NCBI's taxonomy places the organism in Eukaryota, Metazoa, Chordata, Actinopteri, Moronidae.